RNAcentral lists this ribosomal RNA (483 nucleotides) under uncultured bacterium. Its description in RNAcentral is "bacterial SSU rRNA". It matches the Rfam family "Bacterial small subunit ribosomal RNA", at positions 24 to 518 of the family's 1533-position model. The record is from RNAcentral.
UCAGGACGAACGCUGGCGGCGUGCCUAACACAUGCAAGUCGAACGGAACGAAAAGAGCUUGCUCUUGGCGUUUAGUGGCGGACGGGUGAGUAACACGUGAGUAACCUGCCUUUCAGAGGGGAAUAAUGUCUGGAAACGGACACUAAUACCGCAUAAUGUAUUUUAACCGCAUGGUUGAGAUACCAAAGGAGCAAUCCGCUGAAAGAUGGACUCGCGUCUGAUUAGCCAGUUGGCGGGGUAACGGCCCACCAAAGCGACGAUCAGUAGCCGGACUGAGAGGUUGAACGGCCACAUUGGGACUGAGACACGGCCCAGACUCCUACGGGAGGCAGCAGUGGGGGAUAUUGCACAAUGGGCGCAAGCCUGAUGCAGCAAACCGCCGCGUGCAGGAAGACGGUCUUCGGAUUGUAAACUGUUGUCCUCUGUGACGAUAAUGACGGUAGCAGAGGAGGAAGCCACGGCUAACUACGUGCCAGCAGCUGC